This is a long non-coding RNA of Zingiber officinale, 410 nucleotides long. RefSeq lists it as uncharacterized. Lineage: Eukaryota; Viridiplantae; Streptophyta; Magnoliopsida; Zingiberales; Zingiberaceae. The transcript has 3 exons. The record is from RefSeq and is a predicted model, not a curated record.
GCAUCUAGACCAAUUGAUCAUGACUUAAUUACAUGUGGUUUUUCAUUGGAAUCUAUUAACCACCUACUCAUCAACUCUUAUUGCUUCUCAAGGAUUGAACACACUUAAGGAUGUCAGAAUGAUCUAUCAAAUGCAUCUAAUUUUAGUGUAAGAUUAUGAUUUAUCAUGCUACACAUUUUCUUUUGAACCUUUGACUUAUCAUUUCCAGAUUUCUAAAGGCACGAGGGUUCAAUAUUGAAAAAGCUACUCAUAUGUGGUCUGAGAUGCUCCAGUGGAGGAUCAACUUUGGUGCUGAUACUAUCAUUCAUGAUUUUGUAUUUGAUGAACUCGACGAAGUCCUCCAUUAUUAAGAUUUUGAACUCUACGCCAUAGAUCGCCUCCGAGUCCUGCAGGGUAUUUCAGAUGGUUUG